Non-coding RNA from Nylanderia fulva, 73 nucleotides. The record is from the annotation of a RefSeq genome assembly. Lineage: Eukaryota; Metazoa; Arthropoda; Insecta; Hymenoptera; Formicidae.
GCCUAGGUAGCUUAAUGGUUAGAGCAGUCGCCCGGAAAGCGGAAGGUUCCGGGUUCGAGUCCCGGUCUAGUCA